GUGCUCACUCCGGCUGCACAUUGACUACAACUGCAAUGAUACAGAGAAGAUUAGCAGGUCCCCUGAGCAAGGAUGGCACACAAAUUCAUGAAGCGCUCCGCAUUUUG
Small nuclear RNA from Echinops telfairi (small Madagascar hedgehog), 107 nucleotides. The record is from RefSeq and is a predicted model, not a curated record. Lineage: Eukaryota; Metazoa; Chordata; Mammalia; Afrosoricida; Tenrecidae.